UUCGGGGUAUCGAGCGCCGAACGGGUGAGUAACACGUGAGCAACCUGCCCCAGGCUUUGGGAUAACCCCGGGAAACCGGGGCUAAUACCGAAUAUGACCUUGCACCGCAUGGUGUUUGGUGGAAAGUUUUUCGGCUUGGGAUGGGCUCGCGGCCUAUCAGCUUGUUGGUGGGGUGAUGGCCUACCAAGGCGACGACGGGUAGCCGGCCUGAGAGGGCGACCGGCCACACUGGGACUGAGACACGGCCCAGACUCCUACGGGAGGCAGCAGUGGGGAAUAUUGCACAAUGGGCGGAAGCCUGAUGCAGCGACGCCGCGUGAGGGAUGACGGCCUUCGGGUUGUAAACCUCUUUCAGCAGGGACGAAGCGUAAGUGACGGUACCUGCAGAAGAAGCGCCGGCCAACUACGUGCCAGCAGCCGCGGUAAGACGUAGGGCGCGAGCGUUGUCCGGAUUUAUUGGGCGUAAAGAGCUCGUAGGCGGCUUGUCGCGUCGACUGUGAAAACCCGCAGCUCAACUGCGGGCCUGCAGUCGAUACGGGCAGGCUAGAGUUCGGUAGGGGAGACUGGAAUUCCUGGUGUAGCGGUGAAAUGCGCAGAUAUCAGGAGGAACACCGGUGGCGAAGGCGGGUCUCUGGGCCGAUACUGACGCUGAGGAGCGAAAGCGUGGGGAGCGAACAGG
This 679-nucleotide ribosomal RNA is filed under the name Micromonospora sp. A3M225-S5. RNAcentral's name for it is "bacterial SSU rRNA". It matches the Rfam family "Bacterial small subunit ribosomal RNA", at positions 82 to 776 of the family's 1533-position model. The record is from RNAcentral. Lineage: Bacteria; Bacillati; Actinomycetota; Actinomycetes; Micromonosporales; Micromonosporaceae.